UGCAAGUCGAACGAGUUCUGAUUAUUGAAAGGUGCUUGCAUCUUGAUUUAAUUUUGAACGAGUGGCGGACGGGUGAGUAACACGUGGGUAACCUGCCCUUAAGUGGGGGAUAACAUUUGGAAACAGAUGCUAAUACCGCAUAAAUCCAAGAACCGCAUGGUUCUUGGCUGAAAGAUGGCGUAAGCUAUCGCUUUUGGAUGGACCCGCGGCGUAUUAGCUAGUUGGUGAGGUAACGGCUCACCAAGGCAAUGAUACGUAGCCGAACUGAGAGGUUGAUCGGCCACAUUGGGACUGAGACACGGCCCAAACUCCUACGGGAGGCAGCAGUAGGGAAUCUUCCACAAUGGACGCAAGUCUGAUGGAGCAACGCCGCGUGAGUGAAGAAGGCUUUCGGGUCGUAAAACUCUGUUGUUGGAGAAGAAUGGUCGGCAGAGUAACUGUUGUCGGCGUGACGGUAUCCAACCAGAAAGCCACGGCUAACUACGUGCCAGCAGCCGCGGUAAUACGUAGGUGGCAAGCGUUAUCCGGAUUUAUUGGGCGUAAAGCGAGCGCAGGCGGUUUUUUAAGUCUGAUGUGAAAGCCCUCGGCUUAACCGAGGAAGUGCAUCGGAAACUGGGAAACUUGAGUGCAGAAGAGGACAGUGGAACUCCAUGUGUAGCGGUGAAAUGCGUAGAUAUAUGGAAGAACACCAGUGGCGAAGGCGGCUGUCUGGUCUGUAACUGACGCUGAGGCUCGAAAGCAUGGGUAGCGAACAGGAUUAGAUACCCUGGUAGUCCAUGCCGUAAACGAUGAAUGCUAGGUGUUGGAGGGUUUCCGCCCUUCAGUGCCGCAGCUAACGCAUUAAGCAUUCCGCCUGGGGAGUACGACCGCAAGGUUGAAACUCAAAGGAAUUGACGGGGGCCCGCACAAGCGGUGGAGCAUGUGGUUUAAUUCGAAGCAACGCGAAGAACCUUACCAGGUCUUGACAUCUUUUGAUCACCUGAGAGAUCGGGUUUCCCCUUCGGGGGCAAAAUGACAGGUGGUGCAUGGUUGUCGUCAGCUCGUGUCGUGAGAUGUUGGGUUAAGUCCCGCAACGAGCGCAACCCUUAUGACUAGUUGCCAGCAUUUAGUUGGGCACUCUAGUAAGACUGCCGGUGACAAACCGGAGGAAGGUGGGGAUGACGUCAAAUCAUCAUGCCCCUUAUGACCUGGGCUACACACGUGCUACAAUGGAUGGUACAACGAGUUGCGAGACCGCGAGGUCAAGCUAAUCUCUUAAAGCCAUUCUCAGUUCGGACUGUAGGCUGCAACUCGCCUACACGAAGUCGGAAUCGCUAGUAAUCGCGGAUCAGCACGCCGCGGUGAAUACGUUCCCGGGCCUUGUACACACCGCCCGUCACACCAUGAGAGUUUGUAACACCCGAAGCCGGUGGCGUAACCCUUUUAGGGAGCGAGCCGUCU
Molecule: ribosomal RNA, 1440 nt
Filed under: Lacticaseibacillus rhamnosus
Lineage: Bacteria; Bacillati; Bacillota; Bacilli; Lactobacillales; Lactobacillaceae
Description: bacterial SSU rRNA
Rfam family: Bacterial small subunit ribosomal RNA
Source: RNAcentral